Daphnia pulex (common water flea) is the source of this 1168-nucleotide long non-coding RNA. RefSeq lists it as uncharacterized. NCBI's taxonomy places the organism in Eukaryota, Metazoa, Arthropoda, Branchiopoda, Diplostraca, Daphniidae. The record is from RefSeq and is a predicted model, not a curated record. The transcript has 5 exons.
CACCUGGUAGCACAUACAUGUCAUUACAAUACAAGUCGAAACUUUCAAAAGUUCCUUCAAAACAAAUUAAAACGUUAAAAAACGGAGAUCGGUGGUUUCAGGUGAAGUUUUCACGUGUACCUGGCGUCCUGGCCAACUAGGUGCUCGUGACAAUAGAAAUAAAAUUGCCUAAAAUCCAAUAAUCCAAGUUCGCAAGCUAUGUCUUCUGAAGCUAAACAAUUUAUGUUGCAAGAUUUUGUAAAUCUUCAAGAUAUUGAUAUCUUCGCCAGAUCCAAUUCUUUGAUGCUAUCUAUUUUGCGGCACAGCAAGAAAAUGCUGCCACUUAAGAUUUUGUGGUAAUCGCCACUUAGUUCUAAUUUAGGAGGACAAUGUAAGAUUGAUAGAUUCGAGGUUAAUCUGUCUCCUCUGUUUGGGAAACCGACAAGAGAUUGCUGGAAUUGAAGACUGAUAAUUUGUGAAGGUGUAGACAAAUUAAAAGUGUUAAUCUGGGCUUCCUUCUUUUCUGUGGCCCCGUUUCCCUUCUACUAACCACUAACCAACGCCCGCCGGUGGUCACUCACCCGCUGUGAUAACCAGGAGGAUGAGGAGGGCUCUGGUCAAACGGGGACUUAGAAGGCUGAUGAUCUGAGAAAAACUUUUGGAGGGUCAUGAGUCUAAACGGGAAUCCUGCUAUGACUAAUCGCUCCCUAGCAAAACUGGCCUCGUACUCUUCUCUCUUCUUCACCGGCCAGGUUUAUCGUUUAUGUUCCUGUAAUUGCUGUCCGAUGUACCGCGUUGUUGCAGCCUAUGCUGGUGAAAGCUCUUAUUGCAUGAAGUUAAACUGACUGUUCCUUGGUCCUGCUGUCAUGUUAUCGAAGUUGCAUCAUUAUUUUGUUAAAUUGUCCUUGUGUCUUACCGCUUAUGUGUUAAGAAGGAACAAAAGUAGAUAUAUGGGGAUGUUUUAUGUCAAACAAAUAAUAAAAUGUUUUCGGGAUUGGGAUAGGAAAGUAGAGGAUGUUGGAGGUGGGUGAGGAUAUUUCAAGUUUGGAAAAAAAAAAUCAGUUAAUCUAUAACCCUACAAACAUAUCCCUACCAACUAAUCUGCAAACCCCACAAACACACACCUACCAACUUCUAAAUUUAUACCCUAAACCCCAUAAACCAAUAUUAUACCUUAACGAUGUAAUAU